CACCGCGGUUAUACGAGAGGCUCAAAUUGAUAUUCCACGGCGUAAAGCGUGAUUAUAGAAAACCCCCACUAAAGCCGAACAUCUCCUAAGCCGUCAUACGCUAAUGAAGAGACGAAGCCCUACAACGAAAGUAGCCUUAAAACUCUUGAACUCACGACCAUUAAGAAA
RNAcentral lists this ribosomal RNA (168 nucleotides) under Macrocephenchelys brevirostris (rubbernose conger). RNAcentral's name for it is "partial 12S ribosomal RNA". Lineage: Eukaryota; Metazoa; Chordata; Actinopteri; Anguilliformes; Congridae. The record is from RNAcentral.